RNAcentral lists this small nuclear RNA (107 nucleotides) under Urocitellus parryii (Arctic ground squirrel). Lineage: Eukaryota; Metazoa; Chordata; Mammalia; Rodentia; Sciuridae. The record is from RNAcentral.
GUGCUUACUUUGGCAGUAUAUAUACUAGGAUUGGAAAGAUACAGAGAAGAUUAGCAUGGCCUCUGCACAAGGAUGACACACAAAUUCGUGAAGUGUUCCAUACUGUU